This 301-nucleotide ribosomal RNA is filed under the name uncultured bacterium. RNAcentral's name for it is "partial 16S ribosomal RNA". It matches the Rfam family "Bacterial small subunit ribosomal RNA", at positions 509 to 807 of the family's 1533-position model. The record is from RNAcentral.
CAGCCGCCGCGGUAAUGCGAGGGGGGCAAGCGUUGUUCGGAAUUAUUGGGCGUAAAGGGUGCGUAGGCGGUUUCGUAAGUCUUAUGUGAAAUCUAUGGGCUCAACCCAUAGUCUGCAUGGGAAACUGCGAGGCUUGAGGAUGGGAGAGGUGAGUGGAAUUUCCGGUGUAGCGGUGAAAUGCGUAGAUAUCGGGAGGAACACCUGUGGCGAAAGCGGCUCACUGGACCAUUUCUGACGCUGAUGCACGAAAGCUAGGGGAGCAAGCAGGAUUAGAUACCCGCGUAGUCCCUGUCUCUUAUAC